This 366-nucleotide ribosomal RNA is filed under the name uncultured Streptococcus sp. RNAcentral's name for it is "bacterial SSU rRNA". It matches the Rfam family "Bacterial small subunit ribosomal RNA", at positions 1017 to 1382 of the family's 1533-position model. The record is from RNAcentral. Lineage: Bacteria; Bacillati; Bacillota; Bacilli; Lactobacillales; Streptococcaceae.
AGUUCGGCUGGAUCGGAGACAGGUGGCUGCAUGGCUGUCGUCAGCUCGUAUCGUGAGAUGUUGGGUUAAGUCCCGCAACGAGCGCAACCCCUAUUGUUAGUUGCCAUCAUUGAGUUGGGCACUCUAGCGAGACUGCCGGUAAUAAACCGGAGGAAGUGGGGAUGACGUCAAAUCAUCAUGCCCCUUAUGACCUGGGCUACACACGUGCUACAAUGGCUGGUACAACGAGUCGCAAGCCGGUGACGGCAAGCUAAUCUCUUAAAGCCAGUCUCAGUUCGGAUUGUAGGCUGCAACUCGCCUACAUGAAGUCGGAGUCGCUAGUAAUCGCGGAUCAGCACGCCGCGGUGAAUACGGUUCCCGGGCCUU